This 490-nucleotide ribosomal RNA is filed under the name uncultured bacterium. RNAcentral describes it as "partial 16S ribosomal RNA". It matches the Rfam family "Bacterial small subunit ribosomal RNA", at positions 28 to 507 of the family's 1533-position model. The record is from RNAcentral.
GAUGAACGCUAGCGAUAGGCUUAACACAUGCAGGUCGAGGGGCAGCAUGGUCUUAGCUUGCUAAGACUGAUGGCGACCGGCGCACGGGUGCGUAACGCGUAUGCAACUUGCCUCACAGAGGGGGAUAACCCGUCGAAAGACGGACUAAUACCGCGUACACUUGGGAUAGGGCAUCCUGACCCAAGGAAAUGAAAUUCGCUGUGAGAUAGGCAUGCGUCCCAUUAGCUAGUUGGUGAGGCAACGGCUCACCAAGGCGACGAUGGGUAGGGGAACUGAGAGGUUGAACCCCCACACUGGUACUGAGACACGGACCAGACUCCUACGGGAGGCAGCAGUUAGGAAUAUUGGUCAAUGGGCGAGAGCCUGAACCAGCCAAGUCGCGUGAAGGAUGACUGUCUUAUGGAUUGUAAACUUCUUUUAUACGGGAAUAACAAGAGCCACGUGUGGCUCCCUGCAUGUACCGUAUGAAUAAGCAUCGGCUAACUCCGUG